RNAcentral lists this ribosomal RNA (409 nucleotides) under uncultured bacterium. RNAcentral's name for it is "bacterial SSU rRNA". It matches the Rfam family "Bacterial small subunit ribosomal RNA", at positions 39 to 458 of the family's 1533-position model. The record is from RNAcentral.
GGCCGCGGGAAUUCGAUUCAGGCCUAACACAUGCAAGUCGUACGAGAGUUUUUAACUCUAGUGGCGGACGGGUGAGUAACACGUGAGAAUUUGCCUUUAGGAGGGGGAUAACAAUUGGAAACGAAUGCUAAUACCCCAUAUGCUUCCGAGUGAAAUGGAUUUUAUCCGCCUAGAGAGAAGCUCGCGGCUGAUUAGCUUGUUGGCAAGGUAAGAGCUUACCAAGGCGACGAUCAGUAUCUGGUUUGAGAGGACGAUCAGACACACUGGAACUGAGACACGGUCCAGACUCCUACGGGAGGCAGCAGUGGGGAAUUUUCCGCAAUGGGCGAAGGCCUGACGGAGCAAUACCGCGUGAGGGAAGAAUGCCUAUGGGUUGUAAACCUCUUUUUUCAGGGAGGAAUAAUAUGAC